GAUGUGUAUGGAUAUAAAUCCAUGGAGUCCCAAACAGCACCGUUUGGGAAGCAGUCCAUAUUGUCCUAUAAAGUCUUAGAAUGACCGGAUCCUCUGUUGUCUAGAGGUGAAGGUCUCUCUACCUACAUUCGUCUUCUUGCUUUGACCAACACAUGAUUCUAGAGCUGUAGGUCUCUCUACCUACAUUCGUCUUCUUGCUUUGACCAACACAUGAUUCUAGAGCUGUAGGUCUCUCUUCCUACAUUCGUCUUCUUGCUUUGACCAACACCUGUUCCAGGUUAAACCAGGUAUAGUGGAGAGUGACAGAGUUCCAGGGUAACCAGGUAUAGUGGAGAGUUCCAGGUAUAGUAGAGAGUUCCAGGUUAAACCAGGUAUAGUGGAGAGUUCCAGGUUAAACCAGGUAUAGUGGAGAGUGACAGAGUUCCAGGGUAAACCAGGUAUAGUAGAGAGUUCCAGGUUAAACCAGGUAUAGUAGAGAGUUCCAGGUUAAACCAGGUAUAGUGGAGAGUUCCAGGUUAAACCAGGUAUAGUGGAGAGUGACAGAGUUCCAGGGUAAACCAGGUAUAGUAGAGAGUGACAGAGUUCCAGGGUAAACCAGGUAUAGUGGAGAGUUACAGAGUUCCAGGUAUAGUAGAGAGUUCCAGGGUAAACCAGGUAUAGUAGAGAGUGACAGAGUUCCAGGGUAAACCAGGUAUAGUAGAGUGACAGAGUUCCAGGUUAAACCAGGUAUAGUGGAGAGUUCCAGGUAUAGUAGAGAAUUCCGGGUUUAACCAGUGGAGAUACAUUAUUAAUAGUGGAGAGGACCCCAACACUGCUAGUUUUAUCACAUACAGUAUAGGAUGGUUGUGUGUUGCUGUUGGGGGAGGGUCUACCCAGACGAUAACCAGUGAUGUUGCUGUUGGGGGAGGGUCUACCCAGACGAUAACCAGUGAUGUUGCUGUUGGGGGAGGGUCUACCCAGACGAUAACCAGUGAUGUUGCUGUUGGGGGAGGGUCUACCAGACGAUAACCAGUGAUGUUGC
This is a long non-coding RNA of Oncorhynchus tshawytscha (Chinook salmon), 1021 nucleotides long. Lineage: Eukaryota; Metazoa; Chordata; Actinopteri; Salmoniformes; Salmonidae. The record is from Ensembl.